RNAcentral lists this ribosomal RNA (226 nucleotides) under uncultured bacterium. RNAcentral's name for it is "partial 16S ribosomal RNA". It matches the Rfam family "Bacterial small subunit ribosomal RNA", at positions 524 to 748 of the family's 1533-position model. The record is from RNAcentral.
UACGGGGGGGGGCAAGCGUUGUUCGGAAUUACUGGGCGUAAAGGGCGCGUAGGCGGCCUGCUAAGUCGGACGUGAAAUCCCUCGGCUCAACCGAGGAACUGCGUCCGAUACUGGUGGGCUUGAAUCCGGGAGAGGGAUGUGGAAUUCCAGGUGUAGCGGUGAAAUGCGUAGAUAUCUGGAGGAACACCGGUGGCGAAGGCGGCAUCCUGGACCGGUAUUGACGCUG